CAGCUUGUAUAUCGCUGUCUUAAGAUUAUUUUAUGAGAAAUUUUUCAAUAAUGAUUAUUUAUUUAUGUCAAGUCAAGGUGCAGUAAAUGCUUAGGGUUGAGAUGGGUUACAAUAYAUGUAUGUAUAUGAAGAUUAUUUUGUAAUAUUUGAUUGAAGGUGGAUUUUAUUGUAAUGUGAGGUUAUUUACUUUAUAUGGAAAAGUACUAAUAUAUGC
This 214-nucleotide ribosomal RNA is filed under the name Scutigerina weberi. RNAcentral's name for it is "partial small subunit ribosomal RNA". Lineage: Eukaryota; Metazoa; Arthropoda; Chilopoda; Scutigeromorpha; Scutigerinidae. The record is from RNAcentral.